Molecule: non-coding RNA, 27 nt
Filed under: Mus musculus (house mouse)
Lineage: Eukaryota; Metazoa; Chordata; Mammalia; Rodentia; Muridae
Source: RNAcentral
UAUCUGGCUGGGCUCAUUUUGCCUCUG